This 369-nucleotide ribosomal RNA is filed under the name uncultured organism. RNAcentral describes it as "bacterial LSU rRNA". It matches the Rfam family "Bacterial large subunit ribosomal RNA", at positions 2114 to 2486 of the family's 2925-position model. The record is from RNAcentral.
CGGAUGAUUCGGGCUCAUUUGCGCAGGAUAGGUGGGAGGCGUUGAUCAUUGUUGCGGGAUUUGUAGAGCCAUUAGUGAGAUACCACUCUGAUAAAGCUAGAAAUCUAACCUUACACUGUAAGCCAGUGAAGAGACAAUCUCAGGCGGGCAGUUUGACUGGGGCGGUCGCCUCCUAAAAAGUAACGGAAGCGCACAAAGGUUUCCUCAAAUCGGUCAGACAUCGAUCUUUGAAUGUAAAGGUAUAAGGAAGCUUGACUGUGAAACUUACAAGUCGAACAGAGACGAAAGUCGGUCUUAAUGAUCUGGCGAUAUUGAGUGGAAAAGUCGUCACUCAACGGAUAAAAGUUACUCUAGGGAAAACAGGCUGAA